GAUGAGCGCUGGCGGUAUGCCUAACACAUGCAAGUCGUACGCCUCACUUCGGUGAGGAGUGGCGGACGGGUGAGUAACACGUUAGUACCUGCCCCAAAGUGGGGGAAUAACUGCCCGAAAGGGUAGCUAAUACCCCAUAGUCUCCGGUUUAUCCGGAGUAAAGAUUUAUCGCUUUGGGAGGGGCUUGCGUUUGAUUAGCUAGUUGGUGAGGGUAAUGGCCCACCAAGGCGACGAUCAAUAGCUGGAUCGAGAGGUUGACCAGCCACACUGGGACUGAGAUACGGCCCAGACUCCUACGGGAGGCAGCAGUGAGGAAUCUUCCACAAUGGGCGAAAGCCUGAUGGAGCAAUACCGCGUGCAGGAUGAAGCUUUUCGGAGUGUAAACUGCUUUUCUGAAGGAAGAUUAUGACGGUACUUCAGGAAUAAGGAUCGGCUAACUACGUG
RNAcentral lists this ribosomal RNA (444 nucleotides) under uncultured bacterium. RNAcentral describes it as "bacterial SSU rRNA". It matches the Rfam family "Bacterial small subunit ribosomal RNA", at positions 28 to 507 of the family's 1533-position model. The record is from RNAcentral.